This 468-nucleotide ribosomal RNA is filed under the name uncultured bacterium. RNAcentral's name for it is "partial 16S ribosomal RNA". It matches the Rfam family "Bacterial small subunit ribosomal RNA", at positions 28 to 507 of the family's 1533-position model. The record is from RNAcentral.
GACGAACGCUGGCGGCGUGCUUAACACAUGCAAGUCGAACGGAAAGGCCCUGCUUUUGUGGGGUGCUCGAGUGGCGAACGGGUGAGUAACACGUGAGUAACCUGCCCUUGACUUUGGGAUAACUUCAGGAAACUGGGGCUAAUACCGGAUAGGAGCUCCUGCUGCAUGGUGGGGGUUGGAAAGUUUCGGCGGUUGGGGAUGGACUCGCGGCUUAUCAGCUUGUUGGUGGGGUAGUGGCUUACCAAGGCUUUGACGGGUAGCCGGCCUGAGAGGGUGACCGGCCACAUUGGGACUGAGAUACGGCCCAGACUCCUACGGGAGGCAGAAGUGGGGAAUAUUGCACAAUGGGCGGAAGCCUGAUGCAGCAACGCCGCGUGCGGGAUGACGGCCUUCGGGUUGUAAACCGCUGUCGCCUGUGACGAAGCGUGAGUGACGGUACUGGGUAAAGAAGCACCGGCUAACUACGUG